GGAAGGGAGAGCAGUCUGCCUUGAACAUCUGUCACUCAUUGGUCACUAGUGUUGGCUGGGCAGGUGUCCCCUUCCUACCUUGCUGCUCUUUGUGCUUCACCCCUUAAAGCUGUGUGGUUGUUUAGAAAGGGCCACCUUCCCCAGUAGGGGAGGACUGUUGAUUGGUUGU
This 169-nucleotide small nuclear RNA is filed under the name Neotoma lepida (desert woodrat). RNAcentral's name for it is "7SK RNA". It matches the Rfam family "7SK RNA", at positions 1 to 187 of the family's 331-position model. Rfam says of the family: 7SK was discovered as an abundant small nuclear RNA in the mid-70s but a possible function has only recently been suggested. Lineage: Eukaryota; Metazoa; Chordata; Mammalia; Rodentia; Cricetidae. The record is from Rfam by way of RNAcentral.